Long non-coding RNA from Mya arenaria, 4254 nucleotides. RefSeq lists it as uncharacterized. The transcript has 2 exons. The record is from RefSeq and is a predicted model, not a curated record. NCBI's taxonomy places the organism in Eukaryota, Metazoa, Mollusca, Bivalvia, Myida, Myidae.
UGCUUAAAAUUUUAAUCUAGUUAUUUUUAGCUUCGAUCGUUUUUUUACCCCGUAUUAAAGUACAAUCAAAUGUAUAAAUUCGCAAUCUUUUCUGAUCGUUCAAAGUUCUACUUCUUACAAUGGGUUCUUCAUUUCGAAUGUUGUUCAUAUACGAAUUCCCCUAUCUAAACUUUAGUGUUGUUUAUGUCGCUGAUUUGUUUUAAUAUGCAUUAUGUGGUACUAGUAUUUAAAAUUUGCUAUUUUGAGACAACGCUGGGAACCCGUAUUGGGAUUUCCCAUGGUUUAUUAAUCUAAGUGAAUAUCAAAACAUCACGUCUUAUGAGUAGGAACCCGUCUUUGAAAUUCCUUUCGCCUAUUUAUAGGAAGGUGGAAAAGUACGGCGUAAGUCAUAUACGUUGAAACCCGUUUAAAUGUGAAAUAUUUUCAACGAAGACAUUGUUAAGAACGGUUUGAUCAUAAUAUAAGAUGAGAAUGAAAUUGUCAGACAUAACAAUAAAUAAAAGACAAAUUCACAAUUUAAGGUCGGUCAACUUGUUAUCUGUUGGUGGUAACAAAUUGUUGACGGGUACAGUGUGCAAUAAAAUAAAAGUGCAAUUUGGGUAUAUAAACUGGAGAAAGAAAGUGAUGGAGUACGAUAUAAUUUUAUUGCCAUGUAUGCAUUUUCUCGCCACCUGCGGUUGAUAUCAUUAAAGAACAAGCAACACGGAUCUACCACUGGAGGAAUAUUCUAAACCGCUUGGAGGGCUGGUGAAGCCGGAUCUCAUCCAGGCAGAAAGUGGACAAACACAAAAGUAAAACUUCCGCAUAAAACGAAAACGUAGAACAUAACGUUACGUUAAACAAAUUCCAGUUGAUUGAGCAGGUCGAGUAAUCUGGAUUUAAAACUGAAGAUAUAGAUAAUAUUUCAAACACCAUUCUAAUUAUCUUGAAUGUGAUGUGCAACAAGUCCUGGUGAAAAAAUAUAUUAUUCUUUUUUCAAAUCUUUAAGAUUCAAAAUUGGAAAUGUUGAGGGAAUAUAUGUGUGAUUAUAAAUACGUUUGAAAGGAUCUAUGAGCAAAGAUAUAUCGACAAUAUAUUUUUCGUCAAUACAUUUAUAUUAUAGUAGGCUGUGGUUUUAAGAUGGCGCAAAAUCCAAGUAGGCAAUUGUUUGAACGAUUUGUAGAAGGAAGAUAAAACAGGUAAAAUAAAUAUCCAAUAUAAGAGGACAUGGGACUCCCAAAUGAAGAUAAUCUAACAAUAUGGUCGGCCGCUGUUUGAAUCGCGGCUAAGACUGAAUAACGGGUCGAAUCGAAAGAGUACAGUAUUUCCUUCUUUGCAAAAUUUCGGCAUGGUGGGCCAUCACAAUCUUAUUUAUCGCGGCUUUAUUUAUAACGUAUACCCGACCAACCGAAGGAGAUAAAUUUAUCCUCGGGUAACUGAAUUCAACGUCAGGCGGGGUCAAUCCAUAUGGCAGCCAUAUAGACGCUUGCAGACCAUCAUUAUCACCAAUAAAAAGGUAGACAAGUAUUUGAGUGGACAACGUCAAUGUUUACAUCACAACCAGUUAUGAUACUUCAAUGUCAUAUAUUGAUGAUACCACUUGUUAGAUUCAAGGACUUUUGUGCGUUUAAUGGUCAGGGCUUUGAAACUGAAAAACAUCCCGAAACGAUGCUGCAAACGCUCGAGAAUGCAAGAAGGGGGCUGUAUUUCUCGGAGUAGGCGAACUCAUCUAGGCGAAAGAGAUGAAAAGUAAUGCUUAUGUUUUCUUCAGAGUUAUUUAUUUACAUCAUAUUGAUCAAAUAUGAAUUUACGGAUAGGUUUACGAAAAUUGGCCCCGACAGGGUGAGCAUGUUCACUGACACUCUCUUUACAGGCCAUGCUGGUAUUAGACCGGAGCAAAAAGUUAAUCCAAAGGGUAUAUUCUGGACCAGAACCACGAUACUAGAAUAUGCACGACAGACAAAUUAGUUCAAAAAGAUUCACUGUCAUAAUCGGAAUGUUGAAUGAAUGAGACUCGUUAUUGUAAACAAAGAUGACAUGUCACGUAAUCAUAACAUACAUGCAUGUACAACUGAAACUGUUUAUAAUGUGAAUAAAGAUAUGUCUUACCUGGAUUAGGUCAAGAUUAAAGUCAGCCACGGGCAAAUAUAUCCCAAUGUUAACUCAAGCACUCAAAAUAAAACAAAAAGUAAAAAAUACACGAUGCAAAUGUUUCCCUACAGGUGCCCCGAUAUUGUCAACUAAAGAAGCAGCACAACCGCCUAAUUAUAACCAAACAUAACGAGGGAUCCCAAAAUGGAAUACCAAAAUAAAUUACCUGGUAUUUUACCUAUACUACAUUUAAAACGAAAUGGUUUUCCCCAAAACGGCGAGUGCUUGAUGGCUAGUGAUGGGUGAAUCAUGAGAUAAGAAUUUGUUUAUCAAAUAUUAAAGGUUCAAUUUUCACGCCAUUUAGUGAAUACAAUUAUGAAGAGUAAAUAAACGACAAACUUCUGUCAUAGAAACAUGUCUAACUCAUUUGAAUAACUGUCGGGUUAAGAACUUUCAUUGAUACGAAUUCAACACGACAAGUAAACCGAGAGGACAUUGGACUCCAUAGGAUGAUUACCUAACUAUAUAGUCGGCCGCCGUUGGAGUCUCGGCUAAAACUUGACAACCGCUUGGCUCUAAAGAGAGCAGUAUUUCCUUCUUUAUAAAAUGUCGGCAUGGUGGGAACAUCACAAUCUUAUUUAUCGCGGCUCUCACUAUAUUUUGGCUUUGUUAUUACCAUCAUGACCAACCGAAGGGGGUAGAUUUAGCCUUGGAUACCGGAAUUCAACUUUAAGUCAGGCGGGGUCAAAUCAUACCGCAGCCAUAUAGGCGCUUGUAGACCAUCCUUAUCAUUAGUAAACAAGAAUUUUAGUGGACAACGUCAAUGUUAACAUCACACCCAGUUAUGAAACUUCAAUGUCAUAUAUUGAUAAGACCACUUGUUAGAUUAAAGGACUGUGUGCGUUGAAUGGUCGGGGGUUUGAAACUGAAAACUAUCCCGAAAAGAUGCUAACGAUGCUAACAGGUAGAACCUGCAAACGAUCGAAAAUGCAAAAAGGGGAAUGUACUACACGGAGGAGGUAAACUCGGCAAGGCGAAAAAGAAAGUACUGCUGAUGUUGCCUUCAAAGAUUAUAUGAAUUCCCUGACUGGUUUACGAGAAUGGGCCCCGAGUAUUUAAAUGAUUCACUGUCAUAUUCAGAAUGUGAAAUGGAUGAUACUAGCAUGGACCUACACGGAGGGCAACUCGAAUUGACUUAUUUUGCCCCUGAAAAUCUGGUUAUUUCUGUGCUAUUUUCUACGCGUUUGAACUAACUUAUGAUUAUCCAUGAGUGAAUAAAACCAAUAAGGAUAGUUGAUACAUUAAAUCAGAAGAACAUUUGCUCUUUUGGCACUUUUACUAACUUCUUCGAGAUUUCGCGUCCAAAUGAAAGAAACAGAUGCGGUUAUGACGGCAUGAAGUUGAAUGUAACAAACAUAAAAAAUGAUAACAAAUAACACAAUAUGCUUUUUGUUGAAUAUGUUCUAUUAUUUAGAAUUAUUGAUUACUUUUUAAAGCUGCACUCUCACAUAUAUACCAUUUUUACAACUUUUUUUAUAUUUUAUCUUGAAAAGAGCAAUUUGUUUCGAAAAUAUCUGCAAAUCAAUAAUAUAAUAAUGCUGACAAAAAAUCAGAUCGUGGAUUUUCAUAAUUCCGUUCGAAAAUAAAUGUUUAAUGGCUUAAACCGUUACUAACGGUUUAAGAAAAAUGCAUAGAAAAUCAUUUUUUAAACUUAAAUAUAAAAACCUGCGAUCUAAUGUUUUGUCAGCAAUCUUAUAUAACUGCUUUCCAUGGAUUUUCGCAAAAAAAUGGCUAAUUCCAAGACAAAAAAUAAAAAAAGCUGUCAAAUCAUUCAAUCUGUGAGAUUGCAGGUUUAAGGUAUCUGAUAUCAUAAUUAUUAUAUUAUUUUUUACAGCUGGAAGUAACAUUAUAAGAUUUGUUUUUGGACAGUAUUACCCAGCCUCCAUCACCACAACAAGCAACAAAUGUGAUUAUUAUUCCUUUACAGACAUAAUCUGAUUAAAAAGACCUUGUGAAAUCAUCAACAAGCAAGCAGUAGUACCCCCGCAUCUGUCCCAGUUGACUUUUCUGUAUUUUUUGUUAAUACAUGUUCAAUCAGUUUGGAUUGUUUUAUAAUUGUUUUGCAACCAUAGAGUGGCAUAUAUUGAUCAAAUUGUUUACCUGAUUAAACAGUUCAUUACUCUC